RNAcentral lists this unclassified non-coding RNA (240 nucleotides) under soil metagenome. RNAcentral describes it as "partial contains 5.8S ribosomal RNA, internal transcribed spacer 2, and large subunit ribosomal RNA". The record is from RNAcentral.
AAGACUAUAGACCUGCGGAGUACCUGCGGAAGGAUCAUUAACGUAUCUAUGAUGGGGUGCGGAGCGCCCUGCUCCGGUCGAACGGCCGUGCAGCGGGUGCGCCGCCCCCGCCCCACCUCACAAACCCACUGUGAACAUUCACCGGUGGAGGGGGCUCGGUCUGCGCCGUGUCCCCGAUGCCGAAUACCCAAACUCCAGUUGCAAAGAACGUCGUGCGGACUCGGUGCCGCCUAAAACAUG